This 520-nucleotide ribosomal RNA is filed under the name uncultured Glomus. RNAcentral's name for it is "SSU rRNA". It matches the Rfam family "Eukaryotic small subunit ribosomal RNA", at positions 569 to 1091 of the family's 1831-position model. Lineage: Eukaryota; Fungi; Glomeromycota; Glomeromycetes; Glomerales; Glomeraceae. The record is from RNAcentral.
CGCAGCCGCGGUAAUUCCAGCUCCAAUAGCGUAUAUUAAAGUUGUUGCAGUUAAAAAGCUCGUAGUUGAAUUUCGGGAUCAAUAUGUUGGUCGUGCCUUGGUACGUACUGGCAUUAUCGAUUCCUACCUUCUGAAGAACCUCGAUGUCAUUAAUUUGGUGUCUUGGGGAAUCAGGACCGUUACUUUGAAAAAAUUAGAGUGUUUAAAGCAGGCUCGCGCUUGAAUACAUUAGCAUGGAAUAAUGAAAUAGGACGUUUGAUUCUAUUUUGUUGGUUUCUAGGAUCGACGUAAUGAUUAAUAGGGAUAGUUGGGGGCAUUAGUAUUCAAUUGUCAGAGGUGAAAUUCUUGGAUUUAUUGAAGACUAACUACUGCGAAAGCAUUUGCCAAGGAUGUUUUCAUUAAUCAAGAACGAAAGUUAGGGGAUCGAAGACGAUCAGAUACCGUCGUAGUCUUAACCAUAAACUAUGCCGACUAGGGAUCGGAUGAUGUCAAUUUUUUAAUGACUCAUUCGGCGCCUUAC